GAUGAACGCUGGCUACAGGCUUAACACAUGCAAGUCGAGGGGAAACGACGGGGAAGCUUGCUUCCCCGGGCGUCGACCGGCGCACAAGGGGGUAACGCGUAUCCAACCUGCCUCUGACUGAGGGAUAACCCGUCGAAAGUCGUGCUAAUAACUCAUGGCAUCGUCUGCGGGCAUCCAACGACGAUUAAAGAGUUCAUCGAUCGGGGAGGGGGCUGCGUGUGGUUAGCUUGUUGGCGGGGUAAGGGGCCACCAAGGCUAGGAUCGGGAGGGAUUCUGAGAGGAAGGUCCCGCAACUGGGAACUUGGACACGGGCCAAACUCCUACGGGAGGCAGCAGUGAGGAAUAUUGGUCAAUGGGCGGGAGGCUGAAUCAGCCAAGGAGGGUGCAGGAUGACGGCCCUAUGGGUUGUAAACUGCUUUUAUGCGGGGAUAAAGUGAGGGGUGUGUCCUUUAUUGCAGGUACCGCAUGAAGAAGGACCGGCUAAUUCCGUG
RNAcentral lists this ribosomal RNA (491 nucleotides) under uncultured bacterium. RNAcentral's name for it is "partial 16S ribosomal RNA". It matches the Rfam family "Bacterial small subunit ribosomal RNA", at positions 28 to 507 of the family's 1533-position model. The record is from RNAcentral.